RNAcentral lists this RNase P RNA (359 nucleotides) under Bowmanella dokdonensis. RNAcentral's name for it is "Bowmanella sp. UDC354 Bacterial RNase P class A". It matches the Rfam family "Bacterial RNase P class A". From Rfam's summary of the family: Ribonuclease P (RNase P) is a ubiquitous endoribonuclease, found in archaea, bacteria and eukarya as well as chloroplasts and mitochondria. Its best characterised activity is the generation of mature 5'-ends of tRNAs by cleaving the 5'-leader elements of precursor-tRNAs. Cellular RNase Ps are ribonucleoproteins. Lineage: Bacteria; Pseudomonadati; Pseudomonadota; Gammaproteobacteria; Alteromonadales; Alteromonadaceae. The record is from Rfam by way of RNAcentral.
GGAGUUGGCCAGACAAUCGCCGUCCGCAAGGGGGGAGGAAAGUCCGGGCUCCACAGGGCAGGGUGCCAGGUAACGCCUGGGCGGCGCAAGCCGACGACAAGUGCAGCAGAGAGUAGACCGCCAACCCGGUUUUCCGGGAGGUAAGGGUGAAAGGGUGCGGUAAGAGCGCACCGCGCAACUGGUAACAGUUUGUGGCAAGGUAAACUCCAUCCGGAGCAAGACCAAAUAGGGUUCCAGGAAGCAUGCUUCCAGGCGUGGCCCACGCCGGAACCGGGUAGGUUGCUUGAGUCAGUGAGUGAUUGCUGACCUAGAUGAAUGAUUGUCCAAGACAGAACCCGGCUUAUCGGCCAACUCCCUCC